RNAcentral lists this ribosomal RNA (253 nucleotides) under uncultured bacterium. Its description in RNAcentral is "partial 16S ribosomal RNA". It matches the Rfam family "Bacterial small subunit ribosomal RNA", at positions 524 to 776 of the family's 1533-position model. The record is from RNAcentral.
GACAGAGGGUGCAACCGUUGUUCGGAUUUACUGGGCGUAAAGCGCGUGUAGGCGGCUUGGCAAGUCGGAUGUGAAAGCCCACGGCUCAACCGUGGAAGCGCAUCCGAAACUGCUUCGCUCGAGUCUCGGAGAGGAAGGUGGAAUGCUUGGUGUAGAGGUGAAAUUCGUAGAUAUCAAGCGGAACACCGGUGGCGAAGGCGGCCUUCUGGACAGUGACUGACGCUGAGACGCGAAAGCGUGGGGAGCAAACAGG